ACCCAGCAGGCACCGGAGGGCCAAGCUGAAGAAGCUCUGCAUGUAAAUGCUCCUUAAACAAUGUUAGGCUGAGUUAAUCCAGCGGUAGCUCCAGGGGGACAAACUGAAGGCUCAAUCCUCUCCCUUAUCUCUCCUUGUCACCAAGCCGGAGGACCGAGCCCGGCGCACAGCGCCGCAGAGCCCGGGGUGUUCGUGUCCUGGCUUUUGGGGCUUUUUAACCAUGUUCUCGCCUCUGGUUCAUAUGGGAGUGGAAGAGCCGGGAUGUUCGUGGUGUUGCGGGGACCACAAGCAUGGCCUUUGCUGGGGGCAGAUGGAGGAGAGCAGCUGUGGAGCCUGGACCUGGGGGUUGUCCUCUGGCCCUGAGAGUCCUCCCGGCUUUUGUGGCAUCUGUAGGGCCACCCUCAGGGUGCCGCUUUGCCCCUGCACAGGGUCAUCCCGCAUCCCGACCCGAGCCCUGCUGGAAGCCAUCUGCAAAGCUUUCCCUUGCCUUACACCAGCAUGGGGCUGAUGAGGGUGAAGCCUGUCACUUCACGCAAGGAUUUUGGGCUGGUGUUCGCUCUCCAGCACCAAAGCAAAUGAAACAGUGGGUUUCUGAAACGCCGAUCUCCGAGCUGUGCGUCCAACAAGCCCUGGCUCUUUGCUAGUGGGGAGUUCAUAGGAAUAUCCCUGAAUCCUGAGCACCCUGACACCCCAGCACCCCGUUUGCAAAUGGAGCAGGAGCAGGUUCCUGUUCGGGGUGUGCAGCCCCAAAUGCCGCUGAGCGUGUGCGCUAACGCCGGCAGCACCGGGCAGGGUGCAGGCAGCACGGGGUUGUGCGCGGCAGCCGCUGCAGGCAGCCGCGGCGAGGAGGAGAAGUGGGCACGGGCACGGCACGUCGUGGUGGUGUUUUGUUCAUCCUCACUAGGGAGCGGAGGAGAAACAAAAGCUGGAGCAGCGCAGGGCACCAGGCUGGCUGGGUGAGGAGGAGAAAAAAAUAAAUAAUUGUGCAGAAUUUCAUCGGGGAGCUUGAAAAGAGGCAAUUUUGUGAACAAAUAGUCGCCUCUCGGAGCAGAACUUCCCCGUCUCCAAUUUCAAAAUUCUGUUCACAUCAACAUCUACUUUCAUGUUGUAAAACCUGGGGAAAAAGGGAAAAAAAAAAAAAGCAGCUUCACACAUUUCAAUGCAAAAGCCUCAUUUUGGCGAGGAAAAGGGGGGGGAAAGCACUCUUUGGUGGUAGUUUAUACAAAAAGCAACCCCCAAAAUGAAAGUGUGGAAAUACUCAGGGACCCAAGGCAGGUGUGGCUGCCUUGAAGCCUGUGGCUGCUCUUGCCCAUGCGGGGCUGAGCCCGAGCAGGGCCAUGAAGCGGCUGCUGGAGUCCAGCCCCAGGCUUAAAAGACAUGACUUUUCACUUUACCCCACUUGGUGAGAAUGAAAAGCCCAUUUGGUCGGGACCAACUUCAGAAGUGCCUCUGGCUUUGCACUGCAGCCACCGUCCCCAUUUCCCACAUCAGAAAGGUGCAGGAGGAGGGUAGCAAGGAGCAGGGGUGGUCCACAGCAGCAUCCUGGGUGUCUCACGGGGGUUUCAUCACUCCAGGGAAAGCCCUUUCCCCUCCUCUGGGCAGCAGCACAUAUGGGAUUAAUGCUCUGCCUCGUCCCCGCAGGUGUGGGGCAGGUGCCUGUGCUCAGCUGCCCCAAUCAUGGGGCCAGAAGUGAGGAUAAGAGCAGGGUUUGGUGGGGUUUUCCCCUUCUUUGCUCCUCUCCUUCCUCUGUAGGACCUGGAGUCAGUCGGUGCCUCUCCCUGAGGAAGAGGAGCCAGGGCGGCUCUGCCUGCCCUCCGCCUCUGGGCUUGGCUGGCUCCUUCUCUCCAUGCCAACCUCCGCGUGCUGUUUGGCAUCGGGCAAGAUCCUGGAUGAAGCUCGUGGCUGUCUUGCCUGCCUGGCACAGAAACCCCAGAGAGCAGCUCAGCUGGAAAUGCCUUUUGCCCUGAGAAGCAGCUGGAAAAGCACUCAGCCUCCGAGGGUCUCGGCCAGUGGUGCUGCAAACCUGCCCCACGUCCCUCUGUGGGGGGACCAGGACCAUGAUGGGCAGCGCAGCCUCCUCGCCCGGGGCCAGCAGUGAUGCUGGGGGGAACUGGUGCCCGGGAGAGCAGGGGACUCCUCCAAACAUCUGCUAACAUGUUCAGAUCCCAAAAUAUACUUCUGCUCAUUCGUAUUUGAGCAGGGGAGAUGAGAUGGGAGGGAUCUGACUCACAGCCGACAGAUUGAAGGACGGCCAGGUCCUGCACUGGGACCGGCAGAGCACAAAGUUGCUCUUCUGGGGACGUGCUGCUGGGACUGGGUGCAGUCUCGUCCUUGCUGCUCGUGGUUGUGGACAUCGAACAACUCCAUCUGUGGGUCAGCACUUGGGAAACAGUGCCUAGCUCGUGGUGCAAGGGUGGGUUUUCCUUGCGUGGGUGCCCAACCCCUCCCCGGAGAGCUGGGGGCAGAGCUGGGCUGGCAGCCUGGGAGGUGAGAGGGGUCAGUUCUCCAUCACCCUGUCCAUCCUUGUUCCUCCUGGUGUGGAAGGACUUGCUGGGUGUGCAGCGAUGUCCUCUCCCAGGCUGAGCCCCUCCAGUGGCACGAGGACCUGGCCGGGCUGUUGGCUUUGGCACUGGAUUUGAUGCACGCCUUCCUAAGGCCAGACCCGAGCCCUCCAAACGCCCCGUGGGGUGUUGCUGGUGCUGGGCAGAGCCCCGUGACCGGUGGGUGCUGGUGACUGCGCUGACCCUCUGCUGUCAGUGAGCCCAGCCCAGCCCUGCAGCCACCUCUGUGAUUGCCUCCAGGUCGGGGAAAUAAAGGCGAGAGCCGUGCCGGACCCUCCUGGGCUCUGCAGGGAGCUGCCAGCUGCUUUCCGCCCCUCCUGCCUGCUCUGCCGAGGGCAGCUCCUGCGGAAAGCCGGGUGGGCUCAGGCGCUGCCCCAGCUUCAGGUUGAAUUUCUGCCUCUGUUACCGGAGGCAGCAUCUCUCCCCGGAGCAGGGUGACUCUUCCCCCAGACCAAGGGGGUUCAGCAGAGUGACACUGAGGACACCCCAAGAACUGGAUCUGCCUGUGGAGAGCAUUUUGCACGGUGAAGGGAAGGCCACAGCUGUCUCGCAGCUGGCGGAGCGAGCGGUGUGUGCGGGGAGGCGAUUCCCUCUGCCGUGGCUUGGUGCAGGACCCCCCGUCUCCCCUUGGUCUCCCCAUCUCCCACCUCCCGCAGGUCUGUGCCAGCCAAACUCCACCUGCCCCCUCCGCAGCACCCCUCUGUGCCUCGCUCCUCUCCAGGGCUGCCGGGCACAAAAUCCCGGUGAUGCCCGUUCACCCCCGUCCAAGGGGGCACUAACAGAAGAGAGGACACGGAAGAAUUUUUAGGUUCAAACUCUUCGGCAUCAGCAAAUGUCAGCGCUAAGGUCGGGCAGCGCUGGGGCACGUUGAACUGUGCUGGGGCGCAGAUCUGGGAUGGGGACGGGCGCUGACAUGGGAACAGAGCUCACAGCUGGGCUGGGGGGGGGUCUGGUGGUGGAAGCUGAGCUCCCCCAGACUUUGGGACCUCUGCCCUGCUCCAGCCCAUCUGUUCAGCAUCUCUCAGCGGAGAUAGGGACCGGAGGGGUGGGGGGGUCAAGGCGAUGGGUGCCUACCGGCACGUGCGGGGGGCACAGCCCCCUUCCCUGCGAGCGCCCAGGUGGUUCAACCGAGUUGUGAAGGGAUCAAAACAUUUUGUGCCUGGAAGACAAGGAGCGUGUGCGAGAGUGAGGAUGGGCUUGUGUUGGGGGGUGCAACCUUCCCCUGUCACCUCCCUUCUAGCCUGAAUGCUUCUGCCAUCAUGAUUAAUUUAUCAGGUACUUAUGAAUAUGCAGAUGAGACUCUGGUUUCCAGGCUCUGCUUUCAGGAGAGAGGCUGUGUGAUGGGCUUUCUGCUGCUGCUGCCUUCGUAAGAAGAGAAAUGUCAUGUACCAGGGUUUAAAAUAAAUAAAUAACUGCGCCGCC
Molecule: long non-coding RNA, 3983 nt
Organism: Aquila chrysaetos chrysaetos
Lineage: Eukaryota; Metazoa; Chordata; Aves; Accipitriformes; Accipitridae
Exons: 2
Source: RefSeq, a predicted model, not a curated record